This 483-nucleotide ribosomal RNA is filed under the name uncultured bacterium. Its description in RNAcentral is "partial 16S ribosomal RNA". It matches the Rfam family "Bacterial small subunit ribosomal RNA", at positions 30 to 507 of the family's 1533-position model. The record is from RNAcentral.
AUUGAACGCUGGCGGCAGGCCUAACACAUGCCAGUCGAGCGGAUGAAGGGAGCUUGCUCCUGGAUUCAGCGGCGGACGGGUGAGUAAUGCCUAGGAAUCUGCCUGGUAGUGGGGGAUAACGUCCGGAAACGGGCGCUAAUACCGCAUACGUCCUGAGGGAGAAAGUGGGGGAUCUUCGGACCUCACGCUAUCAGAUGAGCCUAGGUCGGAUUAGCUAGUUGGUGGGGUAAAGGCCUACCAAGGCGACGAUCCGUAACUGGUCUGAGAGGAUGAUCAGUCACACUGGAACUGAGACACGGUCCAGACUCCUACGGGAGGCAGCAGUGGGGAAUAUUGGAAAAUGGGCGAAAGCCUGAUCCAGCCAUGCCGCGUGUGUGAAGAAGGUCUUCGGAUUGUAAAGCACUUAAGUUGGGAGGAAGGGCAGUAAGUUAAUACCUUGCUGUUUUGACGUUACCAACAGAAUAAGCACCGGCUAACUUCGUG